This 207-nucleotide ribosomal RNA is filed under the name uncultured bacterium. RNAcentral's name for it is "partial 16S ribosomal RNA". It matches the Rfam family "Bacterial small subunit ribosomal RNA", at positions 524 to 729 of the family's 1533-position model. The record is from RNAcentral.
UACGUAGGGUGCAAGCGUUAAUCGGAAUUACUGGGCGUAAAGCGUGCGCAGGCGGUGAUGUAAGACAGAUGUGAAAUCCCCGGGCUCAACCUGGGAACUGCAUUUGUGACUGCAUCGCUGGAGUGCGGCAGAGGGGGAUGGAAUUCCGGCGUGUAGCAGUGAAAUGCGUAGAUAUGCGGAGGAACACCGAUGGCGAAGGCAAUCCCC